RNAcentral lists this ribosomal RNA (253 nucleotides) under uncultured bacterium. Its description in RNAcentral is "partial 16S ribosomal RNA". It matches the Rfam family "Bacterial small subunit ribosomal RNA", at positions 524 to 776 of the family's 1533-position model. The record is from RNAcentral.
UACGUAGGGUGCGAGCGUUAAUCGGAAUUACUGGGCGUAAAGGGUGCGUAGGCGGGCAUUUAAGUCAGUGGUGAAAUACCUGAGCUUAACUUGGGAACUGCCAUUGAUACUAUUUGUCUUGAAUGUCGUGGAGGUUAGCGGAAUAUGUCAUGUAGCGGUGAAAUGCUUAGAUAUGACAUAGAACACCUAUUGCGAAGGCAGCUAACUACGCGAAUAUUGACGCUGAGGCACGAAAGCGUGGGGAUCAAACAGG